UACGUAGGUGGCGAGCGUUGUCCGGAAUUACUGGGUGUAAAGGGCGUGUAGGCGGGAUAUUAAGUCAGAUGUGAAAUUCUGCAGCUUAACUGCAGAGCUGCAUCUGAAACUGAUGUUCUUGAGUGCUGGAGAGGAUAGUGGAAUUCCUAGUGUAGCGGUGAAAUGCGUAGAUAUUAGGAGGAACACCAGUGGCGAAGGCGGCUAUCUGGACAGUAACUGACGCUGAGGCGCGAAAGCGUGGGGAGCAAACAGG
RNAcentral lists this ribosomal RNA (253 nucleotides) under uncultured bacterium. Its description in RNAcentral is "partial 16S ribosomal RNA". It matches the Rfam family "Bacterial small subunit ribosomal RNA", at positions 524 to 776 of the family's 1533-position model. The record is from RNAcentral.